UACGAAGGGGGCUAGCGUUGCUCGGAAUCACUGGGCGUAAAGCGCACGUAGGCGGACUCUUAAGUCGGUGGUGAAAUCCUGGAGCUCAACUCCAGAACUGCCUUUGAUACUGGCGAUCUCGAGUCCGGGAGAGGUGAGUGGAACUGCGAGUGUAGAGGUGAAAUUCGUAGAUAUUCGCAAGAACACCAGUGGCGAAGGCGGCUCACUGGCCCGGUACUGACGCUGAGGUGCGAAAGCGUGGGGAGCAAACAGG
This 253-nucleotide ribosomal RNA is filed under the name uncultured bacterium. RNAcentral describes it as "partial 16S ribosomal RNA". It matches the Rfam family "Bacterial small subunit ribosomal RNA", at positions 524 to 776 of the family's 1533-position model. The record is from RNAcentral.